Long non-coding RNA from Camarhynchus parvulus, 544 nucleotides. RefSeq lists it as uncharacterized. The transcript is spliced from 3 exons. NCBI's taxonomy places the organism in Eukaryota, Metazoa, Chordata, Aves, Passeriformes, Thraupidae. The record is from RefSeq and is a predicted model, not a curated record.
CGCGGGCGGGACGGCGGCGGGGGCUGCCCGGAGCCGGCGGAGGCGCGGCCGCCCCGGAGGGCUGUGCGCCGUUGGGCCGCAGGAUGAAGAAGCCAACCCUCCUGAGGGGGAAGAUGAGGAGAAGUGGAAGGAUGGAGACAGCAGCCACCAAAGGCUGGGGAAGGCACAGAGCCAGUAGCUGACAUGACAUUUACAGACACAGCAACAGCACACUUUUCCUGCUGCUACUGGACUUCACAAUUUUGCAAGCUGUCAAUCAGUGAUCUUUGCAACUAAAGUCAGAGCUUCAGCAUUUCUCAUCAAAUGAAUGUCCUCAGAAGAAAACUUUGCUGCAUACUCUAUAUGACUGAAGAAUGGAUGAUCAUGAGUUAGCAUCACAAUCAUUUCAGCACAGAGCCUAUACUUUAGCAGGGAAAAAAAAUUCAAAGAAGAACUAUUUGAUGCAACAACAUAGCUGAGAAACAAAACAACGAGGAUCUUCCAAACGGUUCCCUGCAGUAGAAAUGUACUUGUAUGAAUACAGAAGAUAAAAGAUGUGGUUUGG